UGCAAGCCGGACGGCAAGUUGAGUAGCAAUACUUGACCUAGAGUGGCGCAAGGGUGCGUAACACGUAUGCAACCUACCCAAAACCGGGGUAUAGCCCUCCGAAAGGAGGAUUAACACCCCAUAGGAAGAUGAAAUGGCAUCAUUUUAUUUUUAAACCACGGGGUUUUGGAUGGGCAUGCGCUUGAUUAGCUAGUUGGCGGGGUAAUGGCCCACCAAGGCGAUGAUCAAUAGGGGACCUGAGAGGGUGAUCCCCCACACUGGCACUGAGAUACGGGCCAGACUCCUACGGGAGGCAGCAGUAGGGAAUAUUGGACAAUGGGUGAGAGCCUGAUCCAGCCAUGCCGCGUGCAGGAAGAAGGCCUUCUGGGUUGUAAACUGCUUUUGCCGGGGGAUAAAUGAUCCCUGCGGGGAGAAUUGAAGGUACCCGGUGAAUAAGCCACGGCUAACUACGUGCCAGCAGCCGCGGUAAUACGUAGGUGGCAAGCGUUGUCCGGAUUUAUUGGGUUUAAAGGGUGCGUAGGCGGUCCUGUAAGUCAGUGGUGAAAUACGGCAGCUCAACUGUCGAGGUGCCAUUGAUACUGCGGGACUUGAGUACAGUCGAGGUAGGCGGAAUUGACGGUGUAGCGGUGAAAUGCUUAGAUAUCGUCAAGGACACCGAUAGCGAAGGCAGCUUACUAGGCUGUAACUGACGCUGAGGCACGAAGGUGCGGGGAUCAAACAGGAUUAGAUACCCUGGUAGUCCGCACAGUAAACGAUGAUUACCCGAUGUUGGCGAUACACAGCCAGCGUCUUAGCGAAAGCGAUA
This 805-nucleotide ribosomal RNA is filed under the name uncultured bacterium. Its description in RNAcentral is "bacterial SSU rRNA". It matches the Rfam family "Bacterial small subunit ribosomal RNA", at positions 56 to 862 of the family's 1533-position model. The record is from RNAcentral.